GCGGGGAGGAAGGGAGUAAAGUUAAUACCUUUGCUCAUUGACGUUACCCUCAGAAGAAGCACCGGCUAACUCCGUGCCAGCAGCCGCGGUAAUACGGAGGGUGCAAGCGUUAAUCGGAAUUACUGGGCGUAAAGCGCACGCAGGCGGUUUGUUAAGUCAGAUGUGAAAUCCCCGGGCUCAACCUGGGAACUGCAUCUGAUACUGGCAAGCUUGAGUCUCGUAGAGGGGGGUAGAAUUCCAGGUGUAGCGGUGAAAUGCGUAGAGAUCUGGAGGAAUACCGGUGGCGAAGGCGGCCCCCUGGACGAAGACUGACGCUCAGGUGCGAAAGCGUGGGGAGCAAACAGGAUU
RNAcentral lists this ribosomal RNA (348 nucleotides) under Shigella flexneri. Its description in RNAcentral is "bacterial SSU rRNA". It matches the Rfam family "Bacterial small subunit ribosomal RNA", at positions 439 to 779 of the family's 1533-position model. The record is from RNAcentral. Lineage: Bacteria; Pseudomonadati; Pseudomonadota; Gammaproteobacteria; Enterobacterales; Enterobacteriaceae.